GUGGGGAAUAUUGGACAAUGGGGGGAACCCUGAUCCAGCCAUGCCGCGUGUGUGAAGAAGGCCUUUUGGUUGUAAAGCACUUUAAGUGGGGAGGAGGCUUACCUGGUUAAUACCUGGGCUAAGUGGACGUUACUCGCAGAAUAAGCACCGGCUAACUCUGUGCCAGCAGCCGCGGUAAUACAGAGGGUGCAAGCGUUAAUCGGAUUUACUGGGCGUACAGCGCGCGUAGGUGGCCAAUUAAGUCAAAUGUGAAAUCCCCGAGCUUAACUUGGGAAUUGCAUUCGAUACUGGUUGGCUAGAGUAUGGGAGAGGAUGGUAGAAUUCCAGGUGUAGCGGUGAAAUGCGUAGAGAUCUGGAGGAAUACCGAUGGCGAAGGCAGCCAUCUGGCCUAAUACUGACACUGAGGUGCGAAAGCAUGGGGAGCAAACAGGAUUAGAUACCCCGGUAGUCC
This 451-nucleotide ribosomal RNA is filed under the name uncultured bacterium. RNAcentral's name for it is "partial 16S ribosomal RNA". It matches the Rfam family "Bacterial small subunit ribosomal RNA", at positions 354 to 796 of the family's 1533-position model. The record is from RNAcentral.